RNAcentral lists this ribosomal RNA (1337 nucleotides) under Spathula agelaea. RNAcentral describes it as "SSU rRNA". It matches the Rfam family "Eukaryotic small subunit ribosomal RNA", at positions 121 to 1630 of the family's 1831-position model. Lineage: Eukaryota; Metazoa; Platyhelminthes; Tricladida; Dugesiidae. The record is from RNAcentral.
UGAGAGAAGUAAUCUUUAAGAUAACUGUGGUAAUUCUAGAGCUAAUAUUUAAGAAUGCCGUGACCGAAGCGGCGGAUUUAUUAGAUCAAAAUCAACUUGAUGAAUCUGGAUAACUUUCUGAUCGUACUACUUUAUGUUGACGACGAAUCUCUUGAAAUGGCUGACCUAUCAACUUUCGAUGGUAAGAUCAAAGCUUACCAUGGUUAUAACGGGUAACGGGGAAUCAGUGUUCGAUUCCGGAGAGGGAGCCUGAGAAACGGCUACCACAUCCACGGAAGGCAGCAGGCGCGAAAAUUACCCAAUACCAGCUCGGUGAGGUAGUGACAAAAAAUAACAAUAUGGGGUUUCAUAAUUGCAAUGAGAAAAUUUUAAAUACUUUAUCAAGUAUCAAUUGGAGGGCAAGUCUGGUGCCAGCAGCCGCGGUAAUUCCAGCUCCAAAAGCGUAUAUUAAAGUUGUUGCAGUUAAAACGCUCUUGAAAUUGAGGUUCGAGAUGGUGAAUUUCUCCUUCAUGGUCGUGAAUAUGGUGGAGUUCAUUAUAACCGACAAGUUUACUUUGAAAAAAUUAGAGUGCUUAAAGCAGGCUUAUGCUUGUAUAUUGUUGCAUGGAAUAAUAGAAUAGGACUUCGGUUUUAUUUUGUUGGUUUUCGUGAAGUAAUGAUUAAAAGAGAGGGGGCAUAUGUAUGCUGGUGUUAGAGGUGAAAUUCUUAGAUCAUCAGCAGACAAACUACUGCGAAAGCAUUUGCCAAGAAUGUUUUCAUUAAUCAAGAACGAAAGUCAGAGGAUCGAAGACGAUCAGAUACCGUCCUAGUUCUGAAAACUAUGCCAACUGACAGUUAGAAAUAUCCUAUCUAGAAGUCACCGGGAAACCUAAGUCUAUGGGUUCCGGGGGAAGUAUGGUUGCAAAGCUGAAACUUAAAGGAAUUGACGGAAGGGCACCACCAGGAGUGGAGCCUGCGGCUUAAUUUGACUCAACACGGGAAAUCUCACCCGGUCCGGACACUGUGAGGAUUGACAGAUUGAUAGCUCUUUCUUGAUUCGGUGGGUGGUGGUGCAUGGCCGUUCUUAGGCGAUUUGUCUGGUUAAUUCCGAUAAUCUGACCUGCUAACUAGUAUGCUUGUGUUAGAGGAAUAAAUAGCGUUUAGCUAAAAGAAAUUGAGCAAUAACAGGUCUGUGAUGCCCUUAGAUGUCCGGGGCCGCACGCGCGCUACAAUGGCGGUAUCAUCAAGUAUAACCCUGGCUAGAAAUGGUUGGGUAAUCUUUUGAAACACCGUCGUGUCAGGAAUAGUGGAUUGCAAUUUUCCCACUUGAACGAGGAAUUCCUAGUAAGCGCAGUUCA